CAGUAAAUAUCUUCAGUAAAAAGCAAGGUCC
Molecule: non-coding RNA, 31 nt
Filed under: Mus musculus (house mouse)
Lineage: Eukaryota; Metazoa; Chordata; Mammalia; Rodentia; Muridae
Source: RNAcentral